This 497-nucleotide ribosomal RNA is filed under the name uncultured bacterium. RNAcentral's name for it is "partial 16S ribosomal RNA". It matches the Rfam family "Bacterial small subunit ribosomal RNA", at positions 28 to 507 of the family's 1533-position model. The record is from RNAcentral.
GAUGAACGCUGGCGGCGUGCCUAAUACAUGCAAGUCGAGCGAACGGACGAGAAGCUUGCUUCUCUGAUGUUAGCGGCGGACGGGUGAGUAACACGUGGAUAACCUACCUAUAAGACUGGGAUAACUUCGGGAAACCGUAGCUAAUACCGGAUAAUAUUUUGAACCGCAUGGUUCAAAAGUGAAAGACGGUCUUGCUGUCACUUAUAGAUGGAUCCGCGCUGCAUUAGCUAGUUGGUAAGGUAACGGCUUACCAAGGCAACGAUGCAUAGCCGACCUGAGAGGGUGAUCGGCCACACUGGAACUGAGACACGGUCCAGACUCCUACGGGAGGCAGCAGUAGGGAAUCUUCCGCAAAGGGCGAAAGCCUGACGGAGCAACGCCGCGUGAGUGAUGAAGGUCUUCGGAUCGUAAAACUCUGUUAUUAGGGAAGAACAUAUGUGUAAGUAACUGUGCACAUCUUGACGGUACCUAAUCAGAAAGCCACGGCCAACUACGUG